Macrobrachium nipponense is the source of this 1411-nucleotide long non-coding RNA. RefSeq lists it as uncharacterized. Lineage: Eukaryota; Metazoa; Arthropoda; Malacostraca; Decapoda; Palaemonidae. The transcript is spliced from 4 exons. The record is from RefSeq and is a predicted model, not a curated record.
UACAGGCUAUGUGUCAAAAUACAACAUGUGUAGAGGAUGGGAAGAGUCCUUGGUGGGAUGCCUUCAGUGCCGCAUGUAAGCAGGAGGGCAUACAACUUGAAAAGGAGAUAUUUCCUGCAGGGACUGAUAGUCGAUUUUUAAGAGAACUUAAUAUCCCAGCCCUCGGAUUUUCCCCAUGAACAAAACACCAAUUCUUCUCCACGAUCACAACGAAUAUCUGAAUGAGAACAUCUUCUUGCGGGGAAUAGAGAUUUACAUGACUAUUCUGCCUGCUGUUGCAAAUGUGAAAUUCUGAAGUUGGGGAAAUUUGAAUUUCUUGAAGGGGAUGCCAUUACAGCACAAGACCAGCUAAAAGGGAAUUCUUUGGCAUUAGUCUGGUCACCAUGGAGCUCUGGAUAGCUCAAUCCUUGAGGACGAGACAGUGACUACACCAUCAAAAAAAAGUUUAUUGGAAUGUGUUGCAGGAUGAGUCAAACUGGAUUUUAGCAAAAAUUCAAAGAAAUUUUCUGUUAUGUAGGGUUACAGUACAGACACCACCCUACUUAAGAACAUUUAGCUUACAAACUAAAUAGUGUUCAGAGCACUCUCCUUUGUCACCCACAAGUCAAAUUUUGUUCUGUGCGCCUAUUCUGUACAUACAGUGUUGUUUGUACAGUGUAUUGUGUUUUAGGGGGAAAAAGUGUACAGUACUACAUUGAUUUUAUAUCAUACUGUACUUAAAUAGACAUGAAGAAUAGUACAGUAACCAAUUUACAAACAAUUCAGCAUACAAACGGCCAUCUUGAACUUAACUUGUUUGUAAGUAGGAUGGUGUCUAUAUUAAAAUUUUCAUAUGUUGUGCAAAAUCCAUCACCAUUUACUAAAUUCUGAAAUUGAAAGCGAGUUGAAAAUAACAGCUACAAGAUAUUUUUUCCAAGUUUAGCUACCAAGAAUGAGGGUCAAGAUAUUUUGAAGUGGAUCAAUUUGGUAGCAAAAACUAGUGUUAAUGCUAAAAUGUCCUGCUCAUUUGGUUUCUAGGACACCACUAAUAGAGUUAAGUAAUAUUGUGUGAUAACCAGCAUUUUAGUUGUCAGAAGGUUUGAAGGGCAGUUAUUCUAAAUACCGUAUAUACUUGCAUAUCCUACGACUUUUGAAGACCUAACAUUGGAGUUAAUUUUAAGGGGGUCGCAUCAUACCCGAGAUAUAAAAUUAGAGUAUGUAAUAAUCACAUAUUAGUAUUGUAUGAUAAAAUACAAACCAAAUGAAUAUGCACCUUUUCCAUGGAUCUUUUAAUUAGUUAUACUUUACUUCACUGCAUCCAAUAAUAAUAUAUGUAUUUUCAUAUUACUAUUUAUUUGCAUUAUAAAAUACAAACAUAGCAAUCAAUGUUUUGGUUUGAAAAUCAGCUGAGGGCGACGAUUGUGAGGUAAGU